Molecule: ribosomal RNA, 253 nt
Filed under: uncultured bacterium
Lineage: Bacteria
Description: partial 16S ribosomal RNA
Rfam family: Bacterial small subunit ribosomal RNA
Source: RNAcentral
UACGUAUGGUGCUAACGUUGUUCGGAAUCACUGGGCUUAAAGCGCACGUAGGCGGUUGAGUAAGUCUUAUGUGAAAUCCCUCGGCUUAACUGAGGAAUUGCAUCAGAAACUGCUCGGCUGGAGUGUAGGAGGGGAGAGUGGAAUUCCUGGUGGAGCGGUGAAAUGCGUAGAUAUCAGGAGGAACGCCGGUGGCGAAAGCGACUCUCUGGUCUACUACUGACGCUGAGGUGCGAAAGCUAGGGGAGCAAACGGG